Pantherophis guttatus is the source of this 4612-nucleotide non-coding RNA. The record is from RefSeq and is a predicted model, not a curated record. NCBI's taxonomy places the organism in Eukaryota, Metazoa, Chordata, Lepidosauria, Squamata, Colubridae.
AAUCUGAAGGCUCAGUAGAGCCAUCAUGAGCGAUGUUACAAUUGUGAAAGAAGGCUGGGUUCAAAAAAGAGGUCGCAAAAGGUGAUCACAUGACUCCAGGAUACUACAACCAUCAUAAAUAUGAGUCAGUUGCCAAGCGUCUGAAUUCUGAUCACAUGACCAUGGAAAUGCUGCAACGGUCGGGAAUACAUAAAAAAUUGGAGGCCAAGAUACUUCUUAUUGAAGACAGAUGGCUCCUUCAUAGGAUAUAAGGAGAAGCCGCAAGAUGUGGAUCUACCAUAUCCUCUUAACAACUUUUCAGUAGCAAUUUCAGGCCCAGCUGAAGAGGUCUUACGGCCGGAGGACAAAAGAGCGGGGCGAAGUCUCAUAAAAGGACAUCAGGCUUCUUCCUGGUCGGUACAAGCUUCCUCUGCGGCCUCUUUCUUCAACUGCGCUACCAUCCUGUGGCUGAAACAACUCCAGGAGAGAAUUCCAGCCACUGAUCAUAGGUCUCACCAGGACUUAAACAAAAUUUUAGCAGCGGUGGAAUUCUCUGCAGAUGCCACCCUCAAUGCAGCUCGUUUUUCUGCUAAAGCUAUCGGUUCCUCUAUUACAUCAAGGCGUCUCCUCUGGCUCAAAAAUUGGCAGGCAGAUCAAAGAGCCAAAUGGCGCCUAGCUUCUUCUCCUUUCCAGGGUGACAAGUUGUUUGGGGCUCCUCUAGAACCCCUCCUGGUGGAGACUAAAGACCAUCGUAAAAUCUUACCAUCUAUUUCUAGGAGGUUGGAGAUCCACCCACAGACUUCCUUUCGUUCGGGAUCCUUUCGGGCCCACAAUUCCAGCUUCUACCAACAACGUUCCUCUCGGUCAUUUCAUCCACGAGGAUCUCAACAACAGGACUCUCAGGUCAGACAGGGGUACAGGUUCUCCUCCAGGAGACCAUUCAGAGGAUCCAGAGGCCGGCCUUUUCGCCGGGCCCGUUAAUUCUCCUCCUGAUUCUAGGAUUGGGGGCAGGUUAUCCUUUUUUGCUGACAUAUGGGAUAACACAGUUUAAGAUUCUUGGGUUAAAGAUACUAUUAGAUUCGGCCUAGCUCUUGAGUUCCGCUCCAACCCCCCCCCAAUUGUUUUCUGAGCUGUCCUUUGUCCUUGGAUAGAGCCAAACGUGCUCGUGUUACGGCCGCCAUUGAACACCUUUUGUUAAUAAAAGUCCAUCCAACCCGUUCCUUCCCUUCAGCGAGGUCAGGGAUUCUAUUCCUGUUUAUUCCUAGUGCAGAAACCUUCAGGGGAUUGGAGGGCUAUUCUAGAUUUAAAAUCCUUGAACCGGUAUAUAAUUUACCGCCGGUUCAAGAUGCAAUCUCUCCACACUAUUAGCAAUUAGAGAGGGAGAUUUUAUGUCCUCUAUUGAUUUAACGGAAGCUUACUUACACAUUCCUAUUCUUCCUGCCCAUCGUAGAUUUCUCAGGUUCUGUUACAGUGGUAAACAUUACCAGUACAAAGCCCUUCCAUUUGGUUUAUCCUCAGCACCUAGGGUGUUUACAAAAAUUAUGGUGGCCCUUAUUUCUCACAUUUCCUCCAUCCCGGUCAGGAUUCUUUUUUACUUUUUUACCGAUUUUAGCUUCAGGCUCGUCAGGAUGUGGCCACAUCUCUCGAUAUCCUAAGGACUCAUGGGUUUUUCCAUUAACUGGAAGAAGAGUCACUUAACUCCUUCUACCCGUCUUCAGCACCUAGGGUCUAUAAUCGAUACGGUGUCAGCUAAGGUUUUCCUAUCACAGGAUCAGCAAGAUAGCCUCUGUGAUAUGGCCCGUAGGUUUGUUCACUCCAGGUCAGCUUCCCUACUGAGCUUGUCUAGCCUUCUAGGCAAGAUGAUGUCCUGUUAUGGUAUUGUACCCUGGUCUCGUCUUCACAGCAGGGAGUUGCAGUGGCUUCUUCUACCCUACCAGCGGAACCUCAACAGCCCCUCAACCUCCAUCCUACAUCUGACCAUCAACGCCGUCGAGUCUCUCAAAUGGUGGACACCAGAGAAUGUUUCUAAGGGCUGCUUAUUCCUGGAACCACAACGGUUAGUCAUAAUGACGGACGCCAGCCUAGUAGGUUGGGGAGCUCAUCUGGAGACGCACAUGAUUCAAGGCAGGUGGUCCCCUCCAGAAUGUGAUCUCAACAUCAAUCUCCUAGAACUCAGGGCGAUCUUUCUCGCUCUUCAGGGAUUCCUGGCCCAGAUCCAGGGCAGAGAUGUCCUAGUCCUCAUGGACAACAUCACUGCCAAAGCACACAUAAACAGGCAGGGAGGGACCCGUUCCCGAGCUCUCCUCCAGGAGUCUCUUCGGCUGGGGACCUGGGCUGAGUCCCACCUAAUUUUUCUCAGAGCAGAACACAUUUCAGGGGUAUCCAAUAUCCAAGCGGACUCUCUCAGCCGCAAUUCAAUCGACCUGGCAGAGUGGAGCCUACACCCUCAUCUAUUCCAGGAGCUUUCCAGAAGGUUCGGCCAUCCUCAGGUGGACCUGUUCGCCUCAGCAGUCAACCAUCAACUACCCCGUUUCUUUUCACGUUUCCCAGCUCAGGGAGCAGAAACAGUAGAUGCCUUACGCAGCCCAUGGCCAAAGGGAAUCCUUCUCUACGCCUUUCCUCUGUUCCUUCUGGUAGCCAAGGUAGUCCGGAAACUCAUCAGGGAGGGAGCAGAACUGUUACUGGUGGCCCCCCAUUGGCCUCGCCAUCCUUGGUUCGCAGACCUAGUGUCCCUGUCGGUGGCCCCUCCCUGGCGGAUUCCCGACAGUCAGGUGUCUCUGCUACAAGGACAGCUAGUUCAUCCAGAUCCACAGUCCUUCCAGCUAGCCGUCUGGAUAUUGAACGGUUCCUCUUGACGGAGGCUCAAGUUCCCCCGGAUGUCAUCACAACCAUUCAGGCCUCUCGAUGUGGAUCUACGACUCCUAUUUACGACGCCACCUGGACUGCUUUCUCCAAAUGGUGUAGGCGACGCAAUAUUGUUCCCACAUCAGCAUCAGUUGUUCAGAUCCUUGGCUUCCUACAAGACAGUUUCUCCUCAGGUCUCUCUCCGAAUACUCUACGACGCCAGGUAUCAGCAAUUUCUUCUGUGCUGUCUUACUCAUCGGCUGUAUCGCUGUCUAAGGAUCCUUUGAUUCGCAGUUUUUUGCAUGGAGCUACAAACCUCAGACCUCCAGUCACACACAGGUUCCCUACUUGGGAUCUUCCCAAGGUACUGUCUGCACUCAAUAGGCACCCCUUUGAACCUCUUCGGGAGGUGGACCUCAAAUUUCUGUCUUUCAAGGUCUCUUUCCUGGUGGCCAUAACCUUAGCCCGCAGAAUCUCAGAGUUAGCAGCCCUGUCGGUCCGACAAGAUCUGUGUAUUUUUCAUGCGGACAUGGUGGUCCUGUGUCUGGAUCUGCCAUUUAUUCCCAAGAUCAACUCUGUCUUUCACAGAUCACAGGAACUUGUUCUUCCCAAUUUCUGCCCUUCUCCUCAGCACCGACUGGAACGGGCAUGGCACACUCUAGACGUUUCCAGAGCCCUUAAGAUAUACAUUGCUUGCACAUCUUCUUUCCGUCGCACAGAAGCCCUAUUUGUCGCCUUCCAGCCCUCUUCCAUGGGCGCCAAGUUGUCUUCGGCCAUUGGCCGGUGGAUCAGGGCUACCAUAGCUAUGGCGUAUUCAGUCCAGGCCUUGCCGGUUCCCCGGAAUAUUACAGCACACUCCACAAGGAGCGCGGCCAUAUCGGCGGCCUGGUCCACCAGGCCCCCCCCCUGGAGGAAGUUUGCAGAGCGGCCACCUGGUCCUCUCCUGCUCCGUUCAUCCGGCAUUACUGGUUGGAUACCUACGCCUUGGCUGAUGUGGCAUUUGGAAGGAGAAUGUUGCAAGGAGUACAUCUGGAGACUGCUUCCCAGGUCCGGCCUGAUCCCACCCUAUAGGACAUUGGCUUUGGUAUGUCCCAGGCAUGACUGCUGUGCCCACCGUCAUGAGAAUGGGCGUUGGUCUUACCUGAUAUGCCCUUUCUGUGAUAGGUGGGCACGGCAGUCAGCCCCUCCUGUUGGGCUGUUCCCGGGCAUGGGGGUGGGUGGCAAUCUCAUGUAUGUUCUAAUUUUCCAGACACGACAGUCUGCUGAUCUACCUCAUCUCAAAACUGGACUACACAGGAAGAGGCGGGACUUAAGAACUUUACAGCAGACUCGGUCUCAUUGGAGCAAGGCAGUGUCACUCCCCAGGAAUGACUGCCGUGCCCACCUAUCACAGAAAGGGUGCAUCAGAAUGCCAACUAAUGAAAACAGAGCGACCAAAACCGAACACGUUUAUUAUUCGAUGUCUUCAAUGGACCACUGUGAUAGAAAGAACAUUUCAUGUAGAUACUCCAGAAGAACGGGAAGAAUGGACAGAAGCCAUCCAAGCAGUAGCAGACAGACUUCAGAGGCAAGAAGAGGAAAGAAUGAAUUGCAGCCCAACAUCCCAGAUUGAUAACAUUGGAGAGGAAGAGAUGGAUGCCUCGACAACCCACCAUAAAAGAAAGACAAUGAAUGAUUUUGAUUACUUAAAACUACUUGGCAAAGGCACUUUUGGCAAAGUUAUUCUGGUCCGGGAGAAGGCAAGUGGGAAAUAUUAUGCUAUGAAAAUUUUAAAAAAGGAAGUUAUUAU